CCUACGGGUGGCAGCAGUGGGGAAUAUUGCACAAUGGGGGAAACCCUGAUGCAGCAACGCCGCGUGAGUGAAGAAGUAUUUUGGUAUGUAAAGCUCUAUCAGCCGGGAAGAAGAUGACGGUACCUGAGUAAGAAGCCCCGGCUAACUACGUGCCAGCAGCCGAGGUAAUACGGAGGGGGCAAGCGUUAUCCGGAUGUACUGGGUGUAAAGGGAGCGUCGACGGUGGGACAAGUCUGCAGUGAAAGCCCGGGGCGCAACCCCGGGACUGCUGUGGAAACGGCCUGACUGGCGUGCUGGGGCGGCAAGCUGAAUUCCUAGGGUAGCGUUGAAGUGCGUAGAUGUUAGGAAGAACACCAGGGGCGAAGGCGGCAUGCUGGACAGUAACUGACGUUGAGGCUCGAAAGCGUGGGGAGCAAACAGGAUUAGAUACCCUUGUAUGC
Molecule: ribosomal RNA, 440 nt
Filed under: uncultured bacterium
Lineage: Bacteria
Description: partial 16S ribosomal RNA
Rfam family: Bacterial small subunit ribosomal RNA
Source: RNAcentral